Molecule: ribosomal RNA, 467 nt
Filed under: uncultured bacterium
Lineage: Bacteria
Description: partial 16S ribosomal RNA
Rfam family: Bacterial small subunit ribosomal RNA
Source: RNAcentral
ACGCACGCUGGCGGCGUGCCUCACACAUGCAAGUCGAACGGAAAGGCCCUGCUUUUGUGGGGUGCUCGAGUGGCGAACGGGUGAGUAACACGUGAGUAACCUGCCCUUGACUUUGGGAUAACUUCAGGAAACUGGGGCUAAUACCGGAUAGGAGCUCCUGCUGCAUGGUGGGGGUUGGAAAGUUUCGGCGGUUGGGGAUGGACUCGCGGCUUAUCAGCUUGUUGGUGGGGUAGUGGCUUACCAAGGCUUUGACGGGUAGCCGGCCUGAGAGGGUGACCGGCCACAUUGGGACUGAGAUACGGCCCAGACUCCUACGGGAGGCAGCAGUGGGGAAUAUUGCACAAUGGGCGGAAGCCUGAUGCAGCAACGCCGCGUGCGGGAUGACGGCCUUCGGGUUGUAAACCGCUUUCGCCUGUGACGAAGCGUGAGUGACGGUAAUGGGUAAAGAAGCACCGGCUAACUACGUG